RNAcentral lists this ribosomal RNA (301 nucleotides) under uncultured bacterium. Its description in RNAcentral is "partial 16S ribosomal RNA". It matches the Rfam family "Bacterial small subunit ribosomal RNA", at positions 509 to 807 of the family's 1533-position model. The record is from RNAcentral.
CAGUAGCCACGGUAAUACGGAGGGAGCUAGCGUUGUUCGGAAUUACUGGGCGUAAAGCGCACGUAGGCGGCUUUGUAAGUUAGAGGUGAAAGCCUGGAGCUCAACUCCAGAAUUGCCUUUAAGACUGCAUCGCUUGAAUCCAGGAGAGGUGAGUGGAAUUCCGAGUGUAGAGGUGAAAUUCGUAGAUAUUCGGAAGAACACCAGUGGCGAAGGCGGCUCACUGGACUGGUAUUGACGCUGAGGUGCGAAAGCGUGGGGAGCAAACAGGAUUAGAUACCCCUGUAGUCCCUGUCUCUUAUAC